Molecule: transfer RNA, 91 nt
Filed under: Nitrososphaerota archaeon
Lineage: Archaea; Thermoproteati; Nitrososphaerota
Also listed under: 1 other name
Description: tRNA-Met
Rfam family: tRNA
About the family: Transfer RNA (tRNA) molecules are approximately 80 nucleotides in length. Their secondary structure includes four short double-helical elements and three loops (D, anti-codon, and T loops).
Source: RNAcentral
GCCGGGGUACCUCAGCUGGCUAGAGGCGUUUGCCGGACAAAGGGCCGCGCUCAUAACGCGGUUGUCGUGGGUUCGAAUCCCACCCCCGGCA